Molecule: long non-coding RNA, 224 nt
Filed under: Linum usitatissimum (flax)
Lineage: Eukaryota; Viridiplantae; Streptophyta; Magnoliopsida; Malpighiales; Linaceae
Description: long non-coding RNA (LUSI_LNC000271)
Source: RNAcentral
GGGGGGGGGGGGUGUUUUAACUCAAUAGGUUAACAAAUCCACAAGUAUGGUAUAUUAACAAUGAUACACGCAGAAAAAAUGAAGAAAGGAACUAAUACCAUAAACAAGGCUAAUUAGACUUAGAUGAUGUGGUGACCAGGAGCAGCAGGGUACUGCAUCACCGUUGAUGGGUAAGUCGGAACCGGUGCUGGAGCUCCGGUUACAGCAGCAGUCGGCGGUGCACC